CUUGUGGGUUGUCUCUGAUAUGAAGUACUUUCUCUUCUGAGAUCAGUUUAAAUAGCAGCACUCGCUGAGAAGUGAAAGUUUGUGGAGCAGAGCAGGCAGAACAGGAGGACCAGCUCACAGUGCUGACUCUCUUACUGCUGUUAUUACACUGUAACGUUGUAGUUUCCAGAAUGGUCCGGGCCCUGAUCUGGACGUGUCUUCUUCUGUGUGCGAUGGUUCAUAUCACAGUCUGUUUUAAUAAUGACAAAGAGAUUCACUGUCCUAACAUAACAGCUACUGUCGGAGAAAACGUAACACUGACCUGCAAUGUUUCAAAAAACGGCAAUUGUUCAAAGUAUAAAUGGAUUAAGAAUGAAACAAAAAACGGCACUUGUUCAAAGUAUAAAUGGAAGAAUGAAACAAAAAAUGAACUUGAAGUGAAAAAAUGCAGCUCAGUUAAUGAUAGAAAAUUUAAUUACACAAUUAAGAAUGCAUCCAUGACAGACAAUGGGACUUAUAAAUUUUGGAUACAGCUGACCACUAAUUCUCUUUACACAUUCUUCACUGUAAAUAUAUCAGGUACUUUUCCUUUAUAUUUAGAUAUGUAGAUAUGUCUGUGUUUGUGCAGUGCUAACUGUUAAAUAAUCACACUGUUUUGCUGUAUAAUGUUGUGCAGCUGUUUUACACUAAUGUGACAAAAGUCAUGAGACAGACAGACAGACACAUAGAUUUGCCUGUGGAUCAGUAAACUUUAAAAUAUUUUUUUACACUCACACAAUCACAUCUUUGUAUACAGAGGUAUCAAGUAAUGAAUUACAAAUACUUUAUCUUACUAAAGUAGAAAUGUUGUUUAUCUAUACUUUACUGGAGUAAAUACUUUUCCCAUGACUUUUUACAUUUACUCCUUACAUUUUCUUAAAAUCUUAAAAUAGUAUCAUUACUCUUAUUUAAUUUCAGCUUGUUUUCAUUCCGGCUUCUCAUCAUUAAAAACACAAACCUUAUC
Molecule: long non-coding RNA, 982 nt
Filed under: Astyanax mexicanus (Mexican tetra)
Lineage: Eukaryota; Metazoa; Chordata; Actinopteri; Characiformes; Acestrorhamphidae
Description: lncRNA (ENSAMXG00005008793.1)
Source: RNAcentral